AUACGUAGGUGGCAAGCGUUGUCCGGAUUUACUGGGCGUAAAGGGCGUGUAGGCGGUCCGUUAAGUCCGGUGUGAAAUCUCCCGGCCCAACUGGGAGAGGUCAUCGGAUACUGGCGGACUAGAGGGGGGCAGAGGAAGGUGGAAUUCCCGGUGUAGCGGUGAAAUGCGUAGAUAUCCGGAGGAACACCAGUGGCGAAGGCGGCCUUCUGGGCCCACCCUGACGCUGAGGCGCGAAAGCGUGGGGAGCAAACCGGAUUAGAAACCCCGGUAGUCC
Molecule: ribosomal RNA, 274 nt
Filed under: uncultured bacterium
Lineage: Bacteria
Description: partial 16S ribosomal RNA
Rfam family: Bacterial small subunit ribosomal RNA
Source: RNAcentral